AGCCUUCUUUCUUCAUGUACAGGUCCCUCUGUUCUCCAAUGUACGUCACUUCCGGUGAAAAAGCCACGAAAAAAAGCCAACUUUGAGGCCCGAAUAAACGAAUGCGUCAUCGAAGAAAGAAUGCGUCAACAGCGCGCCAUAAUUAAGCGCUCGACCGCAUCUGAAGCUUUACCUCGAAAGGUCGCAGAGAGUGUAACAAACGAAAACUGCUCACCGAGAAACAUUCUGCGAAAUGGUGCAACAUUGCUAAAGAAGCAAGAGAUCUUAGGUCUCGCCUACAGAAACAAACAUAUAUUACGCAGCACGGUUUUUACCCUGGGUGACACAUUGGACGAGACGAGGCAGCUCGUCGUGAAGAGAAGCGUGGCGUCAUAGAAUUUCACGUCGUUGGGAACUGACUGCGAGGACAGCUCUCUCAAAAGAAUAUUAUGUGGUUGAUUGGCUUGACAAAAAGUAUUUUCAUAUCAACUAACGCGAAUGCCGAAAGAAUAUAUCACGAGAUUGGUUUUGAUCAACAGAAAUUUGAGUUUCUGCAGAGAUCGUUUAUGAAAGUAUGGGUUAAUGUUUGUCGCAGAUAAACUACCCGAGGUAGAAGUAUUAGCAACAUCUAGUCAAGAAUUGUGUGACAGGCAGAAGAUGAUUGGAUCUUGCCAGUCACGGAAAACCUUUGAAUACGUACAAUCCAGAAAGUCAGUUUAUACAAGACCUUCGAGAGAAAGAAGUCCCUGGUAUGAAAAAAGUAGUAUCGUCAUCUGAAGGAUUACACACCAAACUACGUCAAGCUGCUCAACGGAAAAAUGGAUUAACAAAAGAACGCAAACAGUUGAUUAAAAUGGGAAAUAAGCUGAGAGCUGAAUUGUUGAAAUAUAAAGAUUUUGAAGGGAUAUUUUGGAAUAUCUAUU
This is a long non-coding RNA of Dendronephthya gigantea, 902 nucleotides long. RefSeq lists it as uncharacterized. Lineage: Eukaryota; Metazoa; Cnidaria; Anthozoa; Malacalcyonacea; Nephtheidae. The transcript has 4 exons. The record is from RefSeq and is a predicted model, not a curated record.